Schistosoma curassoni is the source of this 46-nucleotide non-coding RNA. NCBI's taxonomy places the organism in Eukaryota, Metazoa, Platyhelminthes, Trematoda, Strigeidida, Schistosomatidae. The record is from Rfam.
GUACUGCUGAGGAGUUCUCCAAUAGGACGAAACGGCCGUCCAGUGC